GCCAGUAAGGCCUCUGCAUCUUUCUCAGAUCCUGUCCCCACCUUCCACCCCCACAGUGGUCCCAUCUGGACUUGCUCCAGCCCCCUCACUGGAGGAGGAAGUCCCCACCAGGACCCCUACCCUGGGAGACACGCUGACACACUGGAAAGUGAGGUUUGCUCCAUGAAGACAGGCAUCUUGUACACUUUGUUCUUCGCUGUUCCCUUAGCACUUAACACAGUGUCAGGCAAAAAUAGAUGCUUAAGAAUUUAUGUUGAAUAGAUGGAUGCAUUUGAGCUUGGGAUCUCCAGGAGACAAACUUCAGCAUAACUUAAGGAAGAAGCUGGUAAUGGUCAGAAUUUCCUGGGAAUGGAAGACACUGCUAAUGAGAGGGUGACACCCUCAUCAUGGGAGAGCUGUCACCCCAGGCUUGGGGAUGGCUGAAAGGGGACAGAAACGUUGGUAACACCAAGUUCACCAAUGUAUCACCAUCGAUCACGGCGCCUGAUGCACAGCCGGCGCUCAGUGGAUAUUUGCUGAAACGGAAUGAACGCGCCCAUGCCAGGUAUUAUGCUAAGCUCUUUCCAACAUUCAGUCAACAAACACUAAGUGACCGCGAAAGCCCGGUCCGGGUCUCAUCGUCUGAGCCAGGAGGCAGGGCUGUUACCGUCGCUCUUUUACAAAGGCGAAAACUGAAGCUCAGAGGUUACCUGAGUUGCCCAAGGUCAAAGCUAGAAAAUGCCAAGUCAGUAUCUGAACUCAGGUCUCACUCCGGCGCGCACUUUUAAUCCCUCCGCAGCACCCUACCUUCCGGCUUCCUGGGGCCCCAGCUGGGGCACUCCAGGGGAUCUAGGUUUUUUCCUCCAGAUUACGCACCCGGGGCGGGCCCACAAGGCGCACUGGCGGGGCGCAGCGGGCUCGGGGCGCGGGGGUGUAGGGACUAAA
Molecule: long non-coding RNA, 924 nt
Organism: Rhinolophus ferrumequinum (greater horseshoe bat)
Lineage: Eukaryota; Metazoa; Chordata; Mammalia; Chiroptera; Rhinolophidae
Exons: 3
Source: RefSeq, a predicted model, not a curated record